ACCGUCUGCCCUAGGAGCUUCAGGCUGUAGCUCCAGGCACAGGAGAAACAGCAUCCUGCAGAGUACUAAACCAGCUGCCACAUCCGUGCAGGGUCAAAUCCCUACAAUAAAGGUGUCGUGUUGUAGAAAGAAGUCUUCUCAACGGAGGGUGGAGAGGCUGGAGCACCCCUUGGAGGAGCUGGAACAGGCAGGGGGGCGUGGACUUCCUGCCUGUCUCGCUCCUGAAGAUGAGUUUCCAGCCAAAGCACGUGUCCAGAGGCUGCUGGCCAGCUUGAGGUCACACCUGCAGAUCUGCUUCUGGCAUUUGCUCCCAGGACCUGUACCAGCCCGGGAAGGAAACUGGAGCGCUCCCCUCUGGUUAGUGAGUCAGAGAGACUCAUCGCCUCCCAUCCCACCCAAGUGGCAAGAGCCUCUCUUGGGAACUUCAGAAAUCCUGCCACCUCCUAGAGCCUCCCAGGAUGGUGGUGGAAUCCCCGUUCCUGCUGAAUUCAGAAAGCCCCCGACUAUAAAAAAGCUGUGUGUUGCUGUGAUGCUGAAAGCUGUGCCACCGGGAUCUCAAAUGGCAGCAGGGUCGCCCAUGGUGGACAGGUUUCAGAGGACUUUCCAGACUAAGACAGACAAGGAAGAAGGACCUGGCCACCCACUUCCGAAAAAACUGGCCAUGAAGACCCUGUGAAUAACAGUGGAGCUUGUCUGCUACAGAGCCGGAAGUUAUGUGCUCGAGACUCAGAUAGGAUCUGAUUCAUCAGAGGAUACCGGACCUCUCACCCAGGACCCCAAGUGUGCACCGUUGAAGCCCUUGUCUUCACCUCCGACUGCCUGAUCGGGGAUCUGUUGCGGGUGUCCCACUGCAGAACCUGACCCCAGAGGGAACAGGAAGCCCCGUCACUGCAUCCUUCUGCUGCCUCCUACAUCCAGUGCUCUUUGAGAAACAGAGGCCGAGAGCAGGAGCUGCCUGUCUCUCCUUCCUUUGCGCCUCAUAAUCAAUUUCAGUAAUUGGAAACUGGCCCAGGAUGAGAAC
Molecule: long non-coding RNA, 1021 nt
Filed under: Equus caballus (horse)
Lineage: Eukaryota; Metazoa; Chordata; Mammalia; Perissodactyla; Equidae
Description: lncRNA (ENSECAG00000050734.1)
Source: RNAcentral